This 1216-nucleotide long non-coding RNA is filed under the name Homo sapiens (human). Its description in RNAcentral is "HSALNT0359290". The record is from RNAcentral. Lineage: Eukaryota; Metazoa; Chordata; Mammalia; Primates; Hominidae.
CUACCCUGAAUCUCUUUGGCUAUAAUUUGCCCAUUUUUAAUCAAUCAAUAAUCAUAUUUCUGGGUUCUGGGGCUGAGACAGAGAUCGAAGAAAGUGAAAGGCAUGGUUCAUGCCCUUAUAGAGACUACAUAUAGCUAGACCGAAAACAGUGAGAAGCAAAACUGUGGGUGCUUUGAACUGUACAUGCAGUGGGAAUUAAGGAAUGAUGUAGUCAGGCUGAAGUGACCAGGGACAUUUCCUGGGGACAGGACUUGAAGAUGAGUUGGCUUUAGACUAAUGCUGGGGAGUGGGAACUGACCUGGGCAGCAAAGCAAGGCACAGAGGCAGAGAUGAACUCUGAAUGUUCAGGGCUCACCAGGGAGACUGGCUGGGGGCUUCCAUGGGGAAGGAGAGGGAAGCCUGGUCAGAGAAUAGGACAAGACCAGGGAGAGAAGAUCUUGACAACAGAUGAAGGGCAGAGCGAGGAGUUUGAAUUUGAUGAGGACUGCCAUCUACUGGCAGUUGAUGCAGGCUCUUGGGCAGUAGUGUGGCCUUGGUCCCGCUGAGGUGGGCAGGGGGAGCUAGAGACAAGGAGAAUCUCUAGGAACCCCCAACCCUGAAACAGAAGCCUGAGUUUCAACUGGAGGCGGGAGAGGAGAGUCAGCGAGAACGAAGAUGGACAGACUGCGGAAACAUAAAUGAAGAUGGAGUCUCAAACUAUCACCUGGGCUGGAGUGCGAUGGCAUGAUCUCGGCUCACUGCAACCUCUGCCUCCAGGGUUCAAGCGAUUCUCCUGCCUCAGCCUCCCAAGUAGCUAGGACUACAGCUCCCGCAUACCUCCACCUGCCAUAUUGGCCUGCCAUGGUAGGCCAGGGAGAGAGAAAAAGGAAGAAAAGAGAAGAGAAAAGAAAAAUGUGUUGCCUACUGCCCCUGCCUUUAUUGGGAUGGACAGCUGGAGUAAACAUCAUCCAGAAAGACUGGGACUCUGGGUCCUCUCAAACCCAGCACACCCGCACCACGAAUACCAGCCCCCAGCAAGAAACCUCUAAGCACUUUGGGCCAAAGCGGUUUCAGUUUGAAACCAUGAUGAAUUUAACAUAAAUCAAGAAAAGCAACAGAAGCAACUUUUCCCAUCUGGAAUGGAGUACAGCCUUCUAUUUUAUGCUAUUUGUCUACCCUGUCACUAACUGCAGAGAAAACGUUCUAAAAACUGCCCUUUGUAGCCUCAAGCCAUUUC